AGGCAGUUAGUAUAGUAAAUACGUUAGUUUGUCGUACUAAAAACACUUUUUUGGUACUGUCUU
RNAcentral lists this transfer RNA (63 nucleotides) under Magallana belcheri. RNAcentral's name for it is "Crassostrea belcheri tRNA-Asp". Lineage: Eukaryota; Metazoa; Mollusca; Bivalvia; Ostreida; Ostreidae. The record is from RNAcentral.